CACCAACGGAAAACGGUGUUUUUGUGAAUGAAGAUUAUAUUACUCGAUACAGUGAUUAUAAUGUAUCGAAACUUAUUUUUACAUGGUGAGAAUACACUUUUGUGUAAUGAUUUGAUGUGUUGUCAUAAAAAUCAUAUAUUUUAUUUUAUUUGUGAAAUACACGCACAGGCACUUGCAUGUUUCUUUCUAUCCAUGCAGGAACAUAUAUAUUAUGUUAGAUAUACUGUUCCCAGAUCCAUUGGAGGACCCACUAUCAACGUAAAUGUACGUUGAUAGUGGGUCUUCCCAUGGAUACAGGGAUCUCCAUGGAUGAAAAUUGAACCAUGGAGGAACUUUCACCAUUACAAACCUUGUCUACGCUGUACAGUGUAGCGCGAUCGGAAGUAUUUUAUCCCUCCAUACAAAGAUGGUGAACAUGCUAAUUCAUUGCUUAUUUAAAUUAUAUUUAUUUGAAUUUUCAUUAUAGAAUUAGAAGUAUCAAUAUUUUCAUUUAUUGCCGUUUUUAACCAUUCAAAUGCCAAGUCUUCAUGGUCCCCCCUUAGUCGAGAAUGACCAAAAGCUGUCAUGAAGGUCCCCAAGCAGAUUUCUUUUAUUUUUGGUAAUUGUUAUGGGGGUUAAAAAUCAUCUGAUGUGGAGCUUAUUUUUCGUGGACACUGUCAAAUUCAGAGCCCAUUACCGGUAUGGCUGAUUUGCAGCAACAACAAAACAAUUCGUACGGGUUAUGUAAAAGGUUAAAGAGAUUUGUAAAGCAAACGUUGACAAAUGAAAAGGUUUUUAAUGACUUUAUCUGGAAAAAUUGAUGCUGUGCAACAUGCAUCUUUCAAGUCUGAAUAGAAACCGGAAACGCGGAUGUAUCAAUUUGAUUGUAAUAUACGAAAUGAAUUCGGAAUUUAGAUACGAUAUUUCUUUACAGGAAAUAUUUAAGUUUUUACUUUUAAACUGUUAAAGCAAUUCUAAAUUAUCGUUACAGCAGUACUCGAGUUAUUUGCGAUGUAAUAAUAUUUACUGUUUUGCGUCUUAUUUUGUACUUCUUAAAAAAGGGGGAUGCUGAUUGCGUAAGUCAAAAUAAAGCACGUGUUCGACUUGUUAAACUGUUUUCUUUGUAACUGGAUUAAUUUAUUAAUUUAUUUAUUUAAUCUAAAUGAUCAUAAUCAUUUGCUGAAACUUAGUUGAUUACUUUGACAAUGGAUCGUGUAUCCUCAGAUAGUAUUCUCCUGUCUGGUUUGUUGAUCUACCUGUACAAGCUCAGGUACAAGUAAUUAGCGAUCUUAAUCCGGAUAUCCCUCAGGCGUUAGAACUGUAUUGAAUUAUAACAUAAAAAGCCUAAGGGUUAUGCAAUUACAUGCAUUUGAUUAUAAUUGAUAAAAAAUGGCGUCGGGCUACAAACAACGAUGAAGUUUUGAACGAUGGCGGAAGACAAUUUAACGAUGGCGCAAGACAAUUUAACGAUGGCGCGAGUCAUUUGACGAUGGCGCAAGACAUUUGAACGAUGGCGGGGCUCCAUCGUUAAACAGGCCAUGGAGAUCCCUGGGAUAGAAACAAGUGCCUGUGAAUACACGUGUUGAAAUACAUAACAUAUUACAAAGGCAAACCUCAAACACAAAGGCAAACGACGAAUGAAUGCAUACAGAAUAUUCAUGUAUGAUGUAUUGAGACAAUAUUUAUUUCUGGAACUGUAAACAAUGGUAAAGUGCGAAAUGAAAUAGAAACGGAACAAAACGAAUCGAAAUGAAAUGAAAUGGGCCAUUAUAGUGAAACGAUGUACCGCAGAACGAAACGAAAUAAAUAUUUUUUUUACAAUUUCAACUUAAAAUAAAAUUACUUAGAUGUACCAAUAUUAUUAAGGCAAUGGCUACGGUUACAUGGAAAUGUAACAAUAAUAAAUAUUAUUGUUACAUUGGUGACUACAUGCCGGAAUGCAUGAUUAGGUAAGGACCUGAUUAAUUAUGAAUGUACCAAUAACUAUUGAAGCUACAGUUUAAUAUACAUAGUGUUAUUGUAACAUGAUAAACAACAAUGGGACUUGUACUAUGUAAUUGUUCUAAAUAAUAAAAGUUAAAGACAUUUAUUUUAUAUUUACAAUACAUAGAGAUUAAUACAUGGCCUCUUCCAUAUCAGCCUGGGUAUCAUCCCGAGACCCCCAUAUCAGCCCGAGACGGAGUCGAGGUGCUGAUAUGGGUCGAUGGAUGAUGAUACCCAGGCUGCUAUGGAAAAGGCCAUGUAUUUAUCACUUUAUCAUAUACUUCUGACAAUAGUUUUAUGUAAGGCAAAUAAACAAAUGCAAUAACUAAAACAGUCAAAAACUUUAUAAAGAAGUUAAAUUAUGAAUCAAAUAUACUUUAAUUGUCCAACAGCAUCACUACCUCCAUAUAUAUCAUAUAUGUAUGGUAACAUUUGCUAUAGAGGCAUUUUGAAACAUUGAAAAUUUGGAAGAGUUUUAUGAUCAUUACUCCAUGUUUGUUGUACUAUAAAAUGGUUCAUAAUUGCCAAUGGCAUUUGAUAGCAAGUACAAUGUACUAAACUAUCCCCACAAAAAUUCCCAUAAAUUUGACGUCUUCAUAAAAAACGUCACAAUGGAAAAGUAAACAACCGAUACCGAAAACACCGGAAGUAACUUGCACGAGAUGCACCUGAUAUGGGUUAUCAGCCCGAGUUGGAAAUUAUGGCUUGUGUACUUCCGCUCAUUACACAUAUGCAACAGCCAUGAAAGCUAUCAUAUCAAUGCUAAGUAUAUGAUAAAUUAUUUAUAUUAUUACAUACAAUUUUAGUUUAUUAUUUACAAUGACAGCUUCUACAUAUCCAGUAAGUGGUUUUUGUAGCAUGUUCAAGUCCGACACAUUUUUGAUGAAUCAGGCCACUCCAAGCAGCCAUCACUCACCAGUGAUGCCGCUUUGUGAACGUCUGUAUCGCAUACCGUGCAAUUCCAUUCUGAGAUAAGGUAACCUUUUAUGUUUGCCAUGCUUCUGGUGAGAAAUACUUUUUUACUCUAGCAAUGUUGAUAUUCUCAUCCAAUAUUUAGGUUGGAAGCAUUUGGUGUAGUUUCAUGUCGUCUUUUGAUAUGAUCGCAUUGCCAUCCAUUACGGGUUUUAAGUUUACCUCAGAUUUCAGUAUCCAACUUAGCAGUUAGCAAACUUUGCUUUGAUGUAUCAUUUUUUUAGAGCUGCGUUUGUAUCUCAUUGUAUCUAUAGCUGUAUGAAAUUUGUGUCAUGAUAUUGUUUCAGUUUCGUUUCAAACGCAUCCCAAGUUUUAAAUUUUUCAUCCAAAACAAAAUUGGUAAUAGGAUUAAUCUCCUCAUCCAUUUCAAAGUAUACUGACAGUAAUUAGAGCAGUUGUGCAGUUAAAUACUUUAAAUAAAGGCAACAGUAGUAUACCGGUGUUCAAACUCAUAAAUCCAUGGACAAAAAACAAAAUCGGGGUAACAAACUAAAACUGAGGGAAACGCAUUAAAUAUAAGAGGAGAACAACGACACAACACUACAGUGUAACACACACAGAAACAGACCAAGCAUCAGACAAAAUCCCAGAGGCGGAUUUAGAGGGGGGGCCCAGGGGGCCCAGGCCCCCCCCUCUUUGGGAAAAAAUUUGGUUGCUUAUAUAGGGAAUCACUGAAGCAUGACUGGAGCGGGCCCCCUCUUAGGUCAGUCAGUGGGCCCCCACUUAUGAAAAUUUCUGGAUCCGCCACUGAAUCCCACGAGAAUAACAAAUAUAACAUCAAAACCAAAUACAUGAAUUUGGGAUAGACAAUUAAGUACCGUGACACGUCUUAUCGCAAUGUCAAUUUACACUCAAAAAUAAGAGAAAACAAACGACGCAACGUUAAAUUGUAACACACACAGAAACGAACUAUAAUAUAACAAUGACCAUAUUCCUGACUUGGUACAGGACAUUUUUAAAGGAAAAAAUGGUGGGUUGAACCUGGUUUUGUGGCAUGUCAAACCUCCCCUUUUAUAGCCAUGUGAAAUAUAACAUUAAAAUGACAACUCAACACCACAGGACUACAAUAUAAAUAAAUUGGAGAACACAAUUGACAAAGAAACACACGAACAACAGCCAACAAAGGCAACAAGUUCAAAAUUUUAAUACGCCAGAAGUGCAUUUUGUCCACACAAGAUCUAAUAGUGACACCCAGAUACAAAAGUUUGAAAGCCGAAACAAGCACGAAGUCGAACAGCAUCGAGGACCAAAAGAUAACAAAAGUUGUGCCAAAAACGGCCAGGGUUUUCUGUUAAGUUACCAGAGUAUCCCUAUUAUUUAGAAUAAUUUAUACUUUUGCAAACAGUAAAUUUAUAAAAUUACUAUACAAAAGAUGUACAUGAUGAAACUGAAGUAUUAACUAAUUACAGGAAACAACUGAAAAAGUGAACUCUUUUCUCAGUCCGAGUUCUCAACAACAAACCAUUGAACUAUAUUUUUCUCCUUUGGUACUUAAUAUAACUAAUCUGAAGUAGAACAUCAAAACCAUUAAUACGUAAAACUAUUUAAACACCAUUUGUUGAAUAAUAAUAUUCAUUAUUUAUCAUUAUUACAAGUAUUAUAUAGUACAACCAAUCAAUCAGCUAAAUAACAUAUUUCUAUAGAAAUGGCUUUUUUGACCGGCACCAGCAAUAUAGAGAUUGCAAAUAUGUUUUUGCCUACAGGGUGCUUCUCACAAUUUUAUAAUUAUUUUUUUCUUAUUUCAGACUUCAGGCCAUUUUGAAGAAACAAAAGAUGGCAAUUCACAAAGAAAACAAAGAAUUCAUGUCUGAUACUGAAAAACCCCAUGAAUGUACAGUAUGUGGUAAAAGGUUUAGUUUGAGUAAAAUUUUGGAGGAGCACAUGAAAAUUCAUACUAGCGAUAAACCCUAUGAAUGUACUGUGUGCAGUAAAGGGUUCAGUAGAAGUAAUCACUUGAAGAAGCACAUGACAAUACAUACUGGUGAAAAGCCCUAUGAAUGUAUAGUAUGUGGAAAAGGGUUCAGUGGGAGCAAUCAGUUGAAGGAGCACAUGAGAGUACAUACUGGCGAAAAACCCUAUGGAUGUACAGUAUGUGGUAAAAGGUUUAGUUUGAGAUGCAACUUGAACGUGCAUACGAGAACACAUACUGGUGAUAAACCCUAUGAAUGUACAGUAUGUGGUAAAGGGUUUGGUUUGAAUAAAAUUUUGAAGGAGCACAUGAAAAUUCAUACUGGUGAAAAACCCCAUAACUGUACAGUAUGUGGUAAAGGGUUCAGUAGGAGUAAUCAGUUGAAGGAGCACAUAAGAACACAUACUGGACAAAAACCUCAUAAAUGUACAUUAUGCGAUAAAGGGUUCAGUGGAAGUAAUCACUUGAAGGAUCAUAUGAGAACACAUACUAGUGACAAUCUUUAUGAAUGUACAGAAUGCGGUAAUUGGUUCAGUAGGGAAAAUCGCUUGAAGGGGCACUUGAGAACACAUACUGGUGAAAAACCCCAUGAAUGCACAGUAUGCAUUAAGGGAUUAAGUACGAUGCACACCUUACGUAGACAUGAGGAUAUACAUACUAUAUACAUGAUAUAUAAACCUUAUAAAUGUGGAGAAUGUGGUAAAGAGUUUAGUCACGAACAGUCCUUAAUACAACACAUGAAAACACACACUUUUAAUAAUGUGGUUAACAAUUAAUUCAAAGGUUUCACCUAGAGACAUAUGAUAACAAAUGAGGCCCCUCAUGGGGGGGUCAUAGUAAUCACAUAAUCACCAUUUUUUUGCCAAUAUAAUCACAUAAUCAUUAAAUAUUUGCUUAUCUUUAGUAAUCAAAUAAUCAUGAAAUAUUUGGCUUAAUAAUCAAAUAAUCAUUAAAAAAACGGCCAAGUAAUCACAUAAUCAAAAACCCCAUGAGGGCCCUCACAAAUACUGGAGAUAAACCACAUAAGUUUAACAAAUAUGAUUAACAAUUUGUUCAAAGGAUUGACUUACAGAGAGUCGGAGACACAUGAGAAGACAUACUGGAGAUGAACCUUAUAAACGGAUGUGUUUGGACUUUUUUUUUAGUCAAGAGUCAUAGCAGAAAUGCACAUGGAAGGACUGGACACAGUGUAUGGAUUAACCUUUUAAUCCUUAUGAAUGUUAUUUAGAUUAUGUUUGUAUGUUUUGUUUGGUAGAGGAGUCAGUCUUAAGUCAUAAUAUAGAGAUAAAAAUUUACGAACACACAC
RNAcentral lists this long non-coding RNA (6149 nucleotides) under Mytilus galloprovincialis (Mediterranean mussel). Lineage: Eukaryota; Metazoa; Mollusca; Bivalvia; Mytilida; Mytilidae. The record is from RNAcentral.